Molecule: ribosomal RNA, 460 nt
Filed under: uncultured bacterium
Lineage: Bacteria
Description: partial 16S ribosomal RNA
Rfam family: Bacterial small subunit ribosomal RNA
Source: RNAcentral
CCUACGGGAGGCAGCAGUGAGGAAUAUUGGUCAAUGGACGAGAGUCUGAACCAGCCAAGUGGCGUGAAGGAUGACUGCCCUAUGGGUUGUAAACUUCUUUUAUAUGGGAAUAAAAUGUUCCACGUGUGGGAUUUUGUAUGUACCAUAUGAAUAAGGAUCGGCUAACUCCGUGCCAGCAGCCGCGGUAAUACGGAGGAUCCGAGCGUUAUCCGGAUUUUUUGGGUUUAAAGGGAGCGUAGGUGGAUUGUUAAGUCAGUUGUGAAAGUUUGCGGCUCAACCGUAAAAUUGCAGUUGAAACUGGCAGUCUUGAGUACAGUAGAGGUGGGCGGAAUUCGUGGUGUAGCGGUGAAAUGCUUAGAUAUCACGAAGAACUCCGAUUGCGAAGGCAGCUCACUGGACUGCAACUGACACUGAGGCUCGAAAGUGUGGGUAUCAAACAGGAUUAGAUACCCGAGUAGUC